This 199-nucleotide ribosomal RNA is filed under the name Burkholderia cenocepacia. RNAcentral describes it as "partial 23S ribosomal RNA". It matches the Rfam family "Bacterial large subunit ribosomal RNA", at positions 1 to 197 of the family's 2925-position model. The record is from RNAcentral. Lineage: Bacteria; Pseudomonadati; Pseudomonadota; Betaproteobacteria; Burkholderiales; Burkholderiaceae.
GUUAUAGGGUCAAGCGAACAAGUGCAUGUGGUGGAUGCCUUGGCGAUCACAGGCGAUGAAGGACGCGGUAGCCUGCGAAAAGCUACGGGGAGCUGGCAAACGAGCUUUGAUCCGUAGAUGUCCGAAUGGGGAAACCCACUCCUUUUGGAGUAUCCAUGGCUGAAUACAUAGCCAUGCGAAGCGAACGCGGUGAACUGAA